UUAACUGUCUCAGUUUCAUUGAGAUGUUAGUUAAUAUAAGUAGAGUAUGCUAAGAUCUAUCAUCCCUGGAAUGGCUGUUUUGGAGGAAAAUCUUCAAGUCAACCAAAACAGAAGAAAAUUGUAAAAGCAAAUAGCCCUUUAUAUGGACUUUCGCCAGCAAUCUGUAAUAAUUGUUAUAAACAAUUAAGAAAUGUUAAAAUUGAGAGCUAAACUUGGAUAGAGCUAAAGGUUUUGCUUUAGAACUAUUAAGUACAUUUUAACUCUAUUACAUAUAAUGUUGGAGUAAUUUUUUUGAUGUUAAACAAAUUAUUUAUUAUGGUAGAGGGUGUGAUUUGCUUUCUGGGCUAAGAAAAAUGGAAUUUUACUCUUGACUUUCCGUUAAUUUAAAUGAUCGAAAACCC
RNAcentral lists this long non-coding RNA (401 nucleotides) under Bos taurus (domestic cattle). RNAcentral's name for it is "long non-coding RNA NONBTAT026063". Lineage: Eukaryota; Metazoa; Chordata; Mammalia; Artiodactyla; Bovidae. The record is from RNAcentral.